Molecule: transfer RNA, 67 nt
Filed under: Callopistes maculatus
Lineage: Eukaryota; Metazoa; Chordata; Lepidosauria; Squamata; Teiidae
Description: tRNA-Pro
Source: RNAcentral
CAGAGGGUAGUUUAAAAAAAACACCGGUUUUGGGGACCGGAUAUGGGGCCCCGGGCCCCCCCUUUGA